This 433-nucleotide ribosomal RNA is filed under the name uncultured bacterium. RNAcentral's name for it is "partial 16S ribosomal RNA". It matches the Rfam family "Bacterial small subunit ribosomal RNA", at positions 29 to 507 of the family's 1533-position model. The record is from RNAcentral.
AACGAACGCUGGCGGCAUGCCUAACACAUGCAAGUCGAACGAGACCUUCGGGUCUAGUGGCGCACGGGUGCGUAACGCGUGGGAACCUGCCCUUAGGUUCGGAAUAACUCCCCGAAAGGGGUGCUAAUACCGGAUAAUGUCUACGGACCAAAGAUUUAUCGCCUUUGGAUGGGCCCGCGUUGGAUUAGUUAGUUGGUAGGGUAAAAGCCUACCAAGGCGACGAUCCAUAGCUGGUCUGAGAGGAUGAUCAGCCACACUGGGACUGAGACACGGCCCAGACUCCUACGGGAGGCAGCAGUGGGGAAUAUUGGACAAUGGGCGAAAGCCUGAUCCAGCAAUGCCGCGUGAGCGAUGAAGGCCUUAGGGUUGUAAAGCUCUUUUACCCGGGAUGAUAAUGACAGUACCGGGAGAAUAAGCUCCGGCUAACUCCGUG